UUCGCGGUGUAGUCCCAGAUCCGCUGGUCCUCGGUGAGCGCCUGCAUGCCGAACGCCUCACCGUCGGCGAGGACGCCCAGGUUGACCGGGUCGCCGUAGUUGCCGACGCCGACCUUGUCCACCUUGCCGUGCGCGAUCAGGUAGACCCGGUCGGCGACCGAGCCGAACUCCACGAUCACCUGGCCCGGCUCGAACUCCUGCUGGGUGAACUUGUCCGCCAUGGUCGCCAGCACGUCGGCGUCGUCGAACUCGCUGAGCACCGGCAGCUCGCGCAGUUCGCCGGGGAUGACCCGGAUCUGCGAGCCCACGUUGGUGAAGCUGAGCCGGCCGUCGCCGAUCCGAUAGGUCAUCCGCCGAUUCACCCGAUAGGCGCCUCCCGAGACCUGCACCCAGGGCAGCUUGCGCAGCAGCCACCGGGAGGUGAUCUCCUGCAUCUGCGGAACCGUCUUGGUGGUGGUCGUCAGGUUCCGGGCGGCGGCCGUGCUGAGGCUCUGCCGCCGCUG
This 503-nucleotide antisense RNA is filed under the name Actinoplanes regularis. Its description in RNAcentral is "Saccharopolyspora sRNA 350". It matches the Rfam family "Saccharopolyspora sRNA 350". The record is from Rfam by way of RNAcentral. Lineage: Bacteria; Bacillati; Actinomycetota; Actinomycetes; Micromonosporales; Micromonosporaceae.